RNAcentral lists this ribosomal RNA (503 nucleotides) under uncultured bacterium. RNAcentral describes it as "partial 16S ribosomal RNA". It matches the Rfam family "Bacterial small subunit ribosomal RNA", at positions 30 to 523 of the family's 1533-position model. The record is from RNAcentral.
AUUGAACGCUGGCGGCAGGCUUAACACAUGCAAGUCGAGCGGGGUGAUGGUGCUUGCACUAUCACUUAGCGGCGGACGGGUGAGUAAUGCUUAGGAAUCUGCCUAUUAGUGGGGGACAACAUCUCGAAAGGGAUGCUAAUACCGCAUACGUCCUACGGGAGAAAGCAGGGGAUCACUUGUGACCUUGCGCUAAUAGAUGAGCCUAAGUCGGAUUAGCUAGUUGGUGGGGUAAAGGCCUACCAAGGCGACGAGCUGUAGCGGGUCUGAGAGGAUGAUCCGCCACACUGGGACUGAGACACGGCCCAGACUCCUACGGGAGGCAGCAGUGGGGAAUAUUGGACAAUGGGGGGAACCCUGAUCUAGCCAUGCCGCGUGUGUGAAGAAGGCCUUAUGGUUGUAAAGCACUGUAAGCGAGGAGGAGGCUCUUUUGGUUAAUACCCAAGAUGAGUGGACGUUACUCGCAGAAUAAGCACCGGCUAACUCUGUGCCAGCAGCCGCAGUAA